CAAUAGCGCGGUAAUUAAAGUUGUUGCAGUUAAAAGCUCGUAGUUGGAUAUCUGCCGAGGACGACCGGUCCGCCCUCUGGGUGAGUAUCUGGUUCGGCCUGGGCAUCUUCUUGGAAAACGUAUCCGCACUUGAUUGUGUGCUGCGGCAUCCAAAACUCUUACCUUGAGGACAGGCACACGCCUUGAAUGCGUUAGUAGGGAAUAAUAAGACACGACGUUGGUCCUAUUUUGUUGGUUUCUAGAGCUGAGGUAAUGAUCAAUAGGGAUAGUUUGGGGCAUUCGUAUUUAACUGUCAGAGGUGAAAUUCUUGGAUUCGUUAAAAGACGGAUUAUUGCGAAAGCAUUUGCCAGGGAUGUUCUCAUUGGUCAAGAGCCAAAGUUAGGGGAUCGAAGACGAUUAGAUACCGU
This 407-nucleotide ribosomal RNA is filed under the name uncultured eukaryote. Its description in RNAcentral is "bacterial SSU rRNA". It matches the Rfam family "Eukaryotic small subunit ribosomal RNA", at positions 606 to 1018 of the family's 1831-position model. The record is from RNAcentral.